This 253-nucleotide ribosomal RNA is filed under the name uncultured bacterium. RNAcentral's name for it is "partial 16S ribosomal RNA". It matches the Rfam family "Bacterial small subunit ribosomal RNA", at positions 524 to 776 of the family's 1533-position model. The record is from RNAcentral.
UACGUAGGGUGCGAGCGUUAAUCGGAAUUACUGGGCGUAAAGCGUGCGCAGGCGGUUCUCCAAGUCCGUUGUGAAAGCCCCGGGCUCAACCUGGGAAUGGCAGUGGAAACUAGGGGACUGGAAUCUGGCAGAGGGGGGUGGAAUGCCGCGUGUAGCAGUGAAAUGCGUAGAGAUGCGGCGGAACACCGAUGGCGAAGGCAGCCCCCUGGGCUGAGAUUGACGCUCAGGCACGAAAGCGUGGGUAGCAAACAGG